RNAcentral lists this ribosomal RNA (497 nucleotides) under uncultured bacterium. RNAcentral's name for it is "partial 16S ribosomal RNA". It matches the Rfam family "Bacterial small subunit ribosomal RNA", at positions 28 to 507 of the family's 1533-position model. The record is from RNAcentral.
GAUGAACGCUGGCGGCGUGCCUAAUACAUGCAAGUCGAGCGGACAGACGAGGAGCUUGCUGCUCUCACGUUAGCGGCGGGCGGGUGAGAAACACGUGUAUAACCUACCUAUAUGUCUGGGAUAACUUCGGGAAACCGGAGCAAAUACCGGAUGAUCUAUUGAACCGCAGGGGUCAAUAGUGAAAGACGGUUUUGCUGUCACUUCUCGAUGGAUCCGCGCCGCAUUAGCUGGUUGGUAAGGUAACGGCUUACCAGGGCUACGAUGCGUAGCCGAGCUGAGGGGGGGAUCGGCGGCACUGGAGGUGAGCCGCGGUCCAGGGGCCUACGGGAGGCAGCAGUAGCGAAUCGUCGGCAAUGGGCGGAAGCCUGACGGAGCGACGCCGCGUGAGUGCUGAAAGUCUUCGGAUCGGAAAACUGUGUUAUGGGUGAAAAACAAAUUUGUAAGUAACUAUGCACGGCUUGACGGUACCGGGUAAAAAAGCAACGGCUAACUACGUG